Molecule: ribosomal RNA, 497 nt
Filed under: uncultured bacterium
Lineage: Bacteria
Description: partial 16S ribosomal RNA
Rfam family: Bacterial small subunit ribosomal RNA
Source: RNAcentral
GACGAACGCUGGCGGCGUGCCUAAUACAUGCAAGUCGAGCGAUGAAGCUUGGUUCUUGCACCAAUUUGAAGAGCAGCGAACGGGUGAGUAACGCGUGUGGAAUCUGCCUUUGAGCGGGGUACAACAUGUGGAAACGAAUGCUAAUACCGCAUAACAACUUUAAACAUAAGGUUGAAGUGUGAAAGAUGCAAUUGCAUCACUCAAAGAUGAUCUCGCGUUGUAUUAGCUAGUUGGUGAGGUAAAGGCUCACCAAGGCGAGGAAACAUAGCCGACCUGAGAGGGUGAUCGGCCGCAUUGAGACUGAGACACGGGCCAAUCGCCUACGGGAGGGAGCCGUAGGGCAUCGUGGGCCAUCGGCGGAAGUCUGACCGAGAAACGCCGAGGGAGGGAAGAAGGUUGUCGGAUCGUAAAACUCUGUUGGUAGAGAAGAAAGUUGGUGAGAGUGGAAAGCUCAUCAAGUGACGGUAACUACUCAGAAAGAGACGGCUAACUACGUG